This is a non-coding RNA of Candidatus Curtissbacteria bacterium, 72 nucleotides long. NCBI's taxonomy places the organism in Bacteria, Candidatus Curtissiibacteriota. The record is from Rfam.
GGCGGCGUAGCUCAGUGGUAGAGCGAGGGAAUCAUAACCCCUAGGUCGCAGGUUCAAUCCCUGCCGCCGUCA